Molecule: long non-coding RNA, 151 nt
Organism: Scaptodrosophila lebanonensis
Lineage: Eukaryota; Metazoa; Arthropoda; Insecta; Diptera; Drosophilidae
Exons: 3
Source: RefSeq, a predicted model, not a curated record
UCUUAUGUAUAACUGUCAUUGGAUAACUAGACUGAAUACUAUAUCUAUCUAUAGUGGCGUAUACAUACAUACAUACAUAUGUAUGUACAUAUUUAAUUGGAGAAAUCAAAUAAAGACAAAGACGUUGCACAUGCAUGUUCUUCUUCUUCUU